RNAcentral lists this ribosomal RNA (253 nucleotides) under uncultured bacterium. RNAcentral's name for it is "partial 16S ribosomal RNA". It matches the Rfam family "Bacterial small subunit ribosomal RNA", at positions 524 to 776 of the family's 1533-position model. The record is from RNAcentral.
CACGUAGGGCGCGAGCGUUGUCCGGAAUUAUUGGGCGUAAAGCGCACGUAGGCGGCUUUGCAAGUCCCAUGUGAAAUCCCACGGCUCAACCGUGGAAGUGCAUGGGAAACUGCAGAGCUUGAGUACUUAAGAGGAUCGCGGAAUUCCCGGUGUAGAGGUGAAAUUCGUAGAUAUCGGGAGGAACACCAGUGGCGAAGGCGGCGAUCUGGGAAGAUACUGACGCUGAGGUGCGAAAGCGUGGGGAGCAAACAGG